AACGAACGCUGGCGGCAUGCCUAACACAUGCAAGUCGAACGAGACCUUCGGGUCUAGUGGCGCACGGGUGCGUAACGCGUGGGAACCUGCCCUUAGGUUCGGAAUAACUCCCCGAAAGGGGUGCUAAUACCGGAUAAUGUCUUCGGACCAAAGAUUUAUCGCCUUUGGAUGGGCCCGCGUUGGAUUAGCUAGUUGGUAGGGUAAAAGCCUACCAAGGCGACGAUCCAUAGCUGGUCUGAGAGGAUGAUCAGCCACACUGGGACUGAGACACGGCCCAGACUGCUACGGGAGGCAGCAGUGGGGAAUAUUGGACAAUGGGCGAAAGCCUGAUCCAGCAAUGCCGCGUGAGUGAUGAAGGCCUUAGGGUUGUAAAGCUCUUUUACCCGGGAUGAUAAUGACAGUACCGGGAGAAUAAGCUCCGGCUAACUCCGUG
Molecule: ribosomal RNA, 433 nt
Filed under: uncultured bacterium
Lineage: Bacteria
Description: partial 16S ribosomal RNA
Rfam family: Bacterial small subunit ribosomal RNA
Source: RNAcentral